This is a long non-coding RNA of Cataglyphis hispanica, 2664 nucleotides long. RefSeq lists it as uncharacterized. The record is from RefSeq and is a predicted model, not a curated record. NCBI's taxonomy places the organism in Eukaryota, Metazoa, Arthropoda, Insecta, Hymenoptera, Formicidae. The transcript has 3 exons.
CAUUAAAAAACACGUACAAUAAAAAAAACUUAUUUUCAAAAGUUGCAUCAAAAAAUUUUUUAAAUAUUCUCAUUGGAAUUUUGAACAAAAAUAUCUGAAAGCUCAGGGAAUUUUCAAGGAAUCUAUAAGAAUUUACAAGAUUUAAAUAGACACUCUGGUAAUUCUUUUAGCUCGGAUAUUUUUCGUGCAAUAAUUGUUGAAUAGACAUACUUUUCAAAGAAGCAUAUUGAGAAAUUGUUAGCAUAUAUAGUUGAAUCGAAAUAAGAAACAGUAGCUUCUGAAAGGAGAUUCAAAAGAAGAGGCACUCGGAAGACAAUUCCGUACAUGUGUGUGUGCGCGCGCGCGCGUUUGAAAUAAAAAAAAAAAAGGGAAGGGGGGAAAGCAGCGGGAGGUCGAGGGACCCGACUAAAGAGAGAUACGAACGGCAGGCCUGAGGCCGGGGAAUAGCCGUCCGAAAACAAACAGACUGCAUCACGAAGUCAUUCGUUAUGCGUCCAUGGUAUAUUAAUUAUUCCAUAGCCCGGCUUCGGCGAAUUACCCUCCUUCGUUUUUUUUAUUACUUAUAUUUCUCUUUUCUCGUUUCUUCGAUAGCGGACCUCAUCGACGAGAUUAUAUGUAACUUUAAAUUAAAUAAAAUAUCGUAUAAAAUAUUUUUUAUCCAAAGAUAACUUGCCUCUCCUCUGUUUUAGGUACGGAGUCGAUAAGCGGUCAAUGGUAUUAUCGUACGCAAGUGCGAAAAGAGAAAUGUUUCGAAGAUAAAGGUGAUUAGACUCGCGAUAUCCAAGAGCGAGGCUCGAGCCAACCGCCCGAGGAUAGAAAGCUCUAACUGGACUUGAUUCGAGAGAAUACACUAUUUGUAUGUAUUGUACAUGCAAUUAGAAGAACGGCGAUCUAUGGACGCGUACAAAUACACAAUAUGUACAGAUAUCUAAGGCACCAGGGCCGUUAUUAACAUAAAAGAUCGAAAAAGAAUGAGCUGGGAUCGAGAAUCACGUCCGACGAAUACCUAGCGGCUGCGAAACACCUGUUCGUAUCUACGAGCGGAUGGGUUAUGAACUCGCGAAGUUAUGCGAAAGGGGAAAAAGGGACAGAAGGCUCAUCAGCAUCACGUGGAGAGACGAAAGGAGUGGCCGAAAGAGCACUGGCGAUGAAGAAGACCGGUCCACUCAUCGAAGGCGCUCAAAGAGAGGCAUCCUGAAAAAUAAAUAUCUCCACUACUAUCAAUUUUACAAAAGAAAGAGCUUGAAAAAUGUUUUCGUUGCAUUUACGAAAAUGUGCAGAUCAAUGCUGCUGAAAUCAUCACCACCAGUAGUAACUUUCUAUGUUUCUAGAACGCAUCGUUUAAAGAAGAGAGAGAGAAUAACAGGUAAAAUAUUUUCGCUAUGCGGUAAACGAACCUCCCUUCGGGGCAAGAGACGAAAGAGGCGUGGGACAAUCCGAACGAUCCCGCUCGCCCGGCUUUCGGUCAAUUUCCGUUUCACAAAGGUACAGUACCGAAGGUGGUAUUUGCGUUGGGACUUGUAACUAUCGAGCCGAGCUAUCCGAACCAUUAUUAGGAAGGAGGAGCGGGGGGAGAAGGCUUAAAACGGCUCGGGAAGCGGGUGGACGCCGCCCGGACGGUUACAGUGGGGUGGCAAUUAGCAGGAACAAUGGGGAGCCGUGAUCCUUGUUUCUGGGAAGUAGGCGGAGGAUCUCCCUCCGGGGGCCCUACCAUUCCAUAGACUAAAAAGAGAGAGAAAGAUAGAAAGAGAAAGAGAGGGUGGGAGGGAGAGAGAGAGAGAGAGGAGGUGCACCAGGUAUCUAGACCCCAACCGAAUAUAGUAUAGGGACUGGCGUAAGUAUAUAUGCGGCCUCGAUGUUUCGGCACUAGAAGACAGGUUCUUGAUGUUCCCGAGAACCCUGGCAACCUGGUGAUUAGCCCUACUUAACUGCGAAUACGCGGACGCGACGCGAGCGGCCCAUCGGCGAGUAAAAGGCAUCCUCAUCAAUUAUAUGCAAUUGCCAAAUUGCUCCAAAUUACAUACGUUGGUCCUUGAAGAACAACUGGGGCCCUUUAUGAUAAUUUUCGUAUUUUUUUUUCUUUUUUUUUUUUGCAAAGCCAACUCACCGCCAAGUCUACCUUUGAUUAUCGCUCGCCGAACGCGCGCGUUAUUAGCUCGGGUUAAUUAAACUUUGAAUCAUAACGUGUGCGUCGUAUUGAGAAGUGUAUUAGAUCAACGAUCUUCUCCAUCGACAAUGGAUUCAUCUUUCGAAUACAAGCAUCAGUUGAUUUAAUCAUCGCCAACAAAAUUAUCCUUCAGUCACGUCUGUCUGUUUUUCAACCAAUUUUAUAGUUAUAUAUUAUCUCAUCGCGCGCAUCUUGACAGUAAGAGAUAAUAUCUGAUUUGUUAUUUCCUUAUUUCGCGGUUGUCGUGGAAGCGGCGAAAAGAUAGAGCGGUAGCGUUUUGCGUGUUAGGCCCCGCGGUAUAAUGUCCCUUUGAGACUUUUGUUCUCGCUCGUUUGCAUGCGCAGUUAGCGAGAAUAAACAACAGCAUCAGCUGCUCGGCGCUCAGCCGACGAUGCCAAGCCUAAUUGCGCGAGACAAAUUGUCGGCCGAUGCGUGUCACGCGAUGCGAUCUCAAAUUUUCGCGUCGCACGAGCAAUCGCGAAUUUCUAUUUUCUCAU